UUGUCUUGUCCAUGCCGCAGGAACACUUUGAGGGCUCUGMGGACAUGGGGGAUCCAGCGAGUUCCCUUGACGCUAGACGGUGUGCAAAUAUCCACACUGAGCUCUUGCCCGAGAACAUAGAGCUCUCUCGUUUGGAUUUUCCGCUGAAGUGAUACAUCUUCCAUAUCAGAUUCAGAAGAUCGUACACGACAGACACAUUUGGCUCUUUCUUCUGAAUGGGCUCAGUUCCAAGCUGUGUGAGGAGAUCCGUGACACGUUUCGGUCACAUUUUGACUGUAUCAGUGGCGCCGCACCAAAGUGCAGAGAAUCCCGUUCAACACUACAGCACUCUGCUGAGUUUAGCCUCACUGCAAAGCAGCAGAAUCCCUCUCUGUGAUGAAUACACACAUCACCUCAUGCAUGGCUGGACUACUGCUGCCUGUCCACAGCCUCACCACAGUCAGUGAGAAGACUCGCUGGGAAUCCUUGGCCAGCUGCACCCUCCAGCCUGUUCCACAGCUUUCCCCCACAGGGAAAUCUUAUAGUAGCCUGGCAGUGUUGGCUGUGGCCAGAGGCAACAAGGAUGGCUUUUCCUCAUGUCCAAUGCACUUCAGAAGUUGGAAAAAAGGGCAGCGAUGUUUCUCUUGGAACCCAUUUCCCCUUGACCACUGGACUGACCCUUUGAUCAAGGUGGGAGACACCCCUUCCUCUCGCCUCCUCACUGUCUGCUCCAAUCACAGCAGUGUUUCCCUGCCUGCUCGGCCACGUUGUGCAGCGUGCUGGGGAGAUGCUUGCAAGCAAGGCCUGCCUGCACUGGUACCAGCACUAUGGUGUGGAGGAGCAGGACUUUCAGCAGGCUUUGGACGCAUGCUCAGCUGUCAUGCAGGAAUAUGACACUCAGUGGCAUCCUGRUAGGGCUGCUAAUAAAAAGUCUGAAAAAAUGAUGGCASUGUUGGAAUGGAAAACAGUCAUAAGGUCAACUUAACACUUGUGUGAAGUGGACAUGAUGAACCACUAUGGACUUCAAUUCAGAGCCAUAGAAGUAGGUUAUGGCUUUGCUUCAAUGGUCAUUGUACAGUCAAAUAUUCCCACUAGUUUUUUAUUUUAUUUUUAAUC
This is a non-coding RNA of Salvelinus sp. IW2-2015, 1095 nucleotides long. NCBI's taxonomy places the organism in Eukaryota, Metazoa, Chordata, Actinopteri, Salmoniformes, Salmonidae. The record is from RefSeq and is a predicted model, not a curated record.